RNAcentral lists this long non-coding RNA (210 nucleotides) under Gossypium raimondii (Peruvian cotton). RNAcentral's name for it is "long non-coding RNA (GRAI_LNC001139)". Lineage: Eukaryota; Viridiplantae; Streptophyta; Magnoliopsida; Malvales; Malvaceae. The record is from RNAcentral.
AAAAUAAUAGAUAAAUAAAAAAUGCCUUGGAUUAAAUUGAAAUUUAAAUAAUACUUAGGGGCCAAUUUAGAAAAAAAUAAAUGAUAGGGUCAAUUGGGGGAUUAAAAUAAAUCACGCGCAAAAGUGCGGGGACUGAAAAAAAAAUUAUUCUGAUCACCCAUGAGCACCGUUUCACGGAGGGAUCUGAUCAAAAACCAAACGAAAUUCUGG